UACGUAGGGUGCGAGCGUUGUCCGGAAUUACUAGGCGUAAAGAGCUCGUAGGUGGUUUGUCGCGUCGUCUGUGAAAUUCCGGGGCUUAACUCCGGGCGUGCAGGCGAUACGGGCAAUACUUGAGUGCUGUAGGGGAGACUGGAAUUCCUGGUGUAGCGGUGAAAUGCGCAGAUAUCAGGAGGAACACCAAUGGCGAAGGCAGGUCUCUGGGCAGUAACUGACACUGAGGCACGAAAGCGUGGGGAGCAAACAGGAUUAGAUA
Molecule: ribosomal RNA, 262 nt
Filed under: uncultured prokaryote
Description: partial 16S ribosomal RNA
Rfam family: Bacterial small subunit ribosomal RNA
Source: RNAcentral